AGUGAACGCUGGCGGUAGGCCUAACACAUGCAAGUCGAACGGCAGCACAGUAAGAGCUUGCUCUUACGGGUGGCGAGUGGCGGACGGGUGAGGAAUACAUCGGAAUCUACUUUUUCGUGGGGGAUAACGUAGGGAAACUUACGCUAAUACCGCAUACGACCUACGGGUGAAAGCAGGGGAUCUUCGGACCUUGCGCGAUUGAAUGAGCCGAUGUCGGAUUAGCUAGUUGGCGGGGUAAAGGCCCACCAAGGCGACGAUCCGUAGCUGGUCUGAGAGGAUGAUCGGCCACACUGGAACUGAGACACGGUCCAGACUCCUACGGGAGGCAGCAGUGGGGAAUAUUGGACAAUGGGCGCAAGCCUGAUCCAGCCAAACCGCGUGAGUGAAGAAGGCCUUCGGGUUGUAAAGCCCUUUUGUUGGGAAAGAAAAGCAGCAGGUUAAUACCCCGCUGUUCUGACGGUACCCAAAGAAUAAGCACCGGCUAACUUCGUG
Molecule: ribosomal RNA, 492 nt
Filed under: uncultured bacterium
Lineage: Bacteria
Description: partial 16S ribosomal RNA
Rfam family: Bacterial small subunit ribosomal RNA
Source: RNAcentral